Molecule: ribosomal RNA, 62 nt
Filed under: Hydnotryopsis setchellii
Lineage: Eukaryota; Fungi; Ascomycota; Pezizomycetes; Pezizales; Pezizaceae
Description: partial 28S ribosomal RNA
Source: RNAcentral
GACCCUCAGAAUCAGGGUAGGGAUACCCGGCUGAACUUAAAGCCAUAUCAAUUAAGCCGGAA